CACGUAGGGCGCAAGCGUUGUCCGGAAUUAUUGGGCGUAAAGAGCUCGUAGGCGGUCUGUCGCGUCGGCUGUGAAAACCCGGGGCUCAACCCCGGGCCUGCAGUCGAUACGGGCAGACUAGAGUGCGGUAGGGGAGACUGGAAUUCCUGGUGUAGCGGUGAAAUGCGCAGAUAUCAGGAGGAACACCGGUGGCGAAGGCGGGUCUCUGGGCCGUAACUGACGCUGAGGAGCGAAAGCGUGGGGAGCGAACAGG
This 253-nucleotide ribosomal RNA is filed under the name uncultured bacterium. RNAcentral's name for it is "partial 16S ribosomal RNA". It matches the Rfam family "Bacterial small subunit ribosomal RNA", at positions 524 to 776 of the family's 1533-position model. The record is from RNAcentral.